UUGGCUCAAAUUUCACACACCUAGAAUCACAUAACCAACACAAAUGAUCUUUCCGUAUUUAAGUAAAAUUACCAAUGGACAAAUCAGAAACAUAAAUACUACAGACAAAAACUUGCGAUUACGAUGUAGCUAAAGUUCUACACAGAGUAAAUUGAUAUUCACAAGCGCGGAAAUGACGAAAAUAUGACCGAAUGGACUUGAAACAUAACAUGUACAGAAACCCCAAACGAAAUUCGAAUGACGGGAAGAACAGAAAUACCGCAAGCAGAGCUAGUUGUCGACGGAUGGUGCAAGUUGUUGUCAGCGUUCAAAUUUUCCUUCGUUGUCAAGUCCAAUGUUCAUGUUAGCUCCAUUUACUAAAGAGAGAGAUUAUUCGCCAUAGCUUUGAGAAAACUGCUCGUUAUCGGCCACGACCAUUAUCGACUUUCAUGUUAGAUCUGAAGAACAUCCAACUUUACAUCAAUGAUUAAGAUUGCUUGGACUUUGAAAGAGAAGGAUGACGAUUUGGGCUCGCGGUGUUGAAAUGGCGGAUGAAGUCGCAUUAUGUUGUUGGGGUUGUGUUCGUCGGAGGGUGGUGCUGGUGAGUUGCAACGGUGAAGUUUUCGACGACGGAGGUUGCACGGGUUGGAGAGUGGAAGACGACGGGGGUUGCAUGGGUUGGAGAGUGUAAGACGAUUGGGGGAGGUUGUGGGGGUGUCGUGAGGUUCCCGCGGAGACGGUUACGAUAGUCGGAAAUGGGUUUGAAGGCGUGGCAGUCGUGUUUGCCAGCGAGGGAAAUGGAGAGUUUAACGGCGGAUGAGGGUUAUUGCGUGUUUUCGGUGGAUGCGGAGAAUAUGGAGAAGAGGAAGAUUGAAAGGUUUUGACGACACGGUUUGUGUGGUGGUUCCAGUGGAGGAAAUGGAGGUUGUGAGACGGAAGUUAUGGUGGAAGGUGGAGAGUUGAAGUAGGAAGAACGACGGAGAAGGUAGAGUUUGGUGUUGGGGAGAAGAAGAAUCGGUUAUGGAGGGGAAAGGGUGAAACGGAGAAGACGACCUUCUCCCUCCUUUCUCUUUCGUUUUCUUUUUUCUUUUUAUUCUUUUUUUCGUUGAGAGUGAGUGAUA
Molecule: long non-coding RNA, 1100 nt
Filed under: Lathyrus oleraceus (garden pea)
Lineage: Eukaryota; Viridiplantae; Streptophyta; Magnoliopsida; Fabales; Fabaceae
Description: Pisum sativum (pea) long non-coding RNA (PSAT_LNC023893)
Source: RNAcentral